GUCUUUUUGAUAAUAAUUUAAAGUCUAGCCUGCCCAGUGAGGAGUUAAAUGGCCGCGGUAUUUUGACCGUGCAAAGGUAGCAUAAUCACUAGUUUUUUAAUUGAAAGCUUGAAUGAAAGGUUGGAUGAGGGAAUUACUGUCUCUAUAAAAAUUUAUUAAAAUUUUAUUUUUAAGUUAAAAAGCUUAAAUGUUUAUAAAAGACGAGAAGACCCUAUAGAGUUUUAUAUAAAAAUAUAAUUAUAUAGAAAAGAAAGUUUAUAGAUGUAAUUUUAUUUUUAUAUUUAGUUGGGGUGAUUGAAAAAUUAAUGAAACUUUUUUUGUAUUUUUACAUUUAUUAAUGAUAUUAUGAUCCUUAUUUAAAGAUUAAAAGAUAAAAUUACCUUAGGGAUAACAGCGUAAUUUUUUUGGAGAGUUCAAAUCGAUAAAAAAGUUUGCGACCUCGAUGUUGGAUUAAAAUUUAAUUUUGGUGUAGGGGCUAAAGAUUUAGGUCUGUUCGACCUUUAAAAUUUUACAUGAUCUGAGUUUAAACCGGCGUGAG
This 538-nucleotide ribosomal RNA is filed under the name Barretonus minor. Its description in RNAcentral is "partial 16S ribosomal RNA". It matches the Rfam family "Bacterial large subunit ribosomal RNA", at positions 1819 to 2625 of the family's 2925-position model. The record is from RNAcentral. Lineage: Eukaryota; Metazoa; Arthropoda; Insecta; Coleoptera; Curculionidae.